CAGCUGAAAUCUACUUCUUCCCACAAAAUCGUUUCUUCAUGAGAUUCAUUCAUCGAUAGUCUAUCAAAUAGAUCGUGACUCACGGAGAGAGUCUAUGGCAAGAAGAAAGGUUAGAGUUAACUUGUGUUCUUGAAAUCAAUGUUGGCUGCUUCCGCGCUAAAAUUUAGUGCAAUUGGUUUGAUUGUCUGUGUAGUGAACCAAUAUUCCAAAACAAACAGGAAGUGUAGCUGUUGGAGGAAAAUGCAAGACAUUAUUGUAAACCGAAGUGGACGCCCAAUUGAAUUAAAUGGACUUCGGACCCGAUGGAGUUUUAUU
This is a long non-coding RNA of Papaver somniferum (opium poppy), 315 nucleotides long. RefSeq lists it as uncharacterized. NCBI's taxonomy places the organism in Eukaryota, Viridiplantae, Streptophyta, Magnoliopsida, Ranunculales, Papaveraceae. The record is from RefSeq and is a predicted model, not a curated record. The transcript has 3 exons.